Molecule: transfer RNA, 69 nt
Filed under: Schedorhinotermes putorius
Lineage: Eukaryota; Metazoa; Arthropoda; Insecta; Blattodea; Rhinotermitidae
Description: tRNA-Ile
Source: RNAcentral
AAUGAUGAGCCUGAUUAAAGGAAUAUCGUGAUAGGAUAUAACAUGUAGGGCAUAAUCCUACCCUCAUUA